GACGAACGCUGGCGGCGUGCUUAACACAUGCAAGUCGAACGGAAAGGCCCUGCUUUUGUGGGGUGCUCGAGUGGCGAACGGGUGAGUAACACGUGAGUAACCUGCCCUUGACUUUGGGAUAACUUCAGGAAACUGGGGCUCAUACCGGAUAGGAGCUCCUGCUGCAUGGUGGGGGUUGGAAAGUUUCGGCGGUUGGGGAUGGACUCGCAGCUUAUCAGCUUGUUGGUGGGGUAGUGGCUUACCAAGGCUUUGACGGGUAGCCGGCCUGAGAGGGUUGACGGCCACAAUGGGACUGAGAUACGGACCAGACUCCUACGGGAGGCAGCAGUGGGGAAUAUUGCACAAUGGGCGGAAGCCUGAUGCAGCAACGCCGCGUGCGGGAUGACAGCCUUCGGGUUGUAAACCGCUUUCGCCUGUGACGAAGCGUGAGUGACGGUAAUGGGUAAAGAAGCACCGGCUAACUACGUG
Molecule: ribosomal RNA, 468 nt
Filed under: uncultured bacterium
Lineage: Bacteria
Description: partial 16S ribosomal RNA
Rfam family: Bacterial small subunit ribosomal RNA
Source: RNAcentral